GAUGAACGCUGGCGGCGUGCCUAAUACAUGCAAGUCGAGCGAACAGACGAGGAGCUUGCUCCUCUGACGUUAGCGGCGGACGGGUGAGUAACACGUGGAUAACCUACCUAUAAGACUGGGAUAACUUCGGGAAACCGGAGCUAAUACCGGAUAAUAUAUUGAACCGCAUGGUUCAAUAGUGAAAGACGGUUUUGCUGUCACUUAUAGAUGGAUCCGCGCCGCAUUAUCUAGUUGGUAAGGUAACGGCUUACCAAGGCGACGAUGCGUAGCCGACCUGAGAGGGUGAUCGGCCACACUGGAGCUGAGACACGGUCCAGACUCCUACGGGAGGCAGCAGUAGGGAAUCUUCCGCAAAGGGCGAAAGCCUGACGGAGCAACGCCGCGUGAGUGAUGAAGGUCUUCGGAUCGUAAAACUCUGUUAUUAGGGAAGAACAAAUGUGUAAGUAACUAUGCACGUCUUGACGGUACCUAAUCAGAAAGCCACGGCUAACUACGUG
Molecule: ribosomal RNA, 497 nt
Filed under: uncultured bacterium
Lineage: Bacteria
Description: partial 16S ribosomal RNA
Rfam family: Bacterial small subunit ribosomal RNA
Source: RNAcentral